Molecule: ribosomal RNA, 489 nt
Filed under: uncultured bacterium
Lineage: Bacteria
Description: partial 16S ribosomal RNA
Rfam family: Bacterial small subunit ribosomal RNA
Source: RNAcentral
UUGAACGCUGGCGGCAGGCCUAACACAUGCCAGUCGCACAGUAACAGGAAGAAGCUUGCUUCUUUGCUGACGAGUGGCGGACGGGUGAGUAAUGUCUGGGAAACUGCCUGAUGGAGGGGGAUAACUACUGGAAACGGUAGCUAAUACCGCAUAACGUCGCAAGGCCAAAGAGGGGGACCUUCGGGCCUCUUGCCAUCGGAUGUGCCCAGAUGGGAUUAGCUAGUAGGUGGGGUAACGGCUCACCUAGGCGACGAUCCCUAGCUGGUCUGAGAGGAUGACCAGCCACACUGGAACUGAGACACGGUCCAGACUCCUACGGGAGGCAGCAGUGGGGAAUAUUGCACAAUGGGCGCAAGCCUGAUGCAGCCAUGCCGCGUGUAUGAAGAAGGCCUUCGGGUUGUAAAGUACUUUCAGCGGGGAGGAAGGGAGUAAAGUUAAUACCUUUGCUCAUUGACGUUACCCGCAGAAGAAGCACCGGCUAACUCCGUG